UGAGGGGAGUCGAGUCUCCCGCGCCCCGCCACCCCCGGCAGAGCUACUGCUGAGCUGUUCAUUCUGAGCCCUGGCUACCAACAAAGUUCGUUAAAAAAAAAAACCAUAAUCAACCCUAAAAGAGUGAAAGAGGGCGCGAGCCAGCCAGGCGGCCCUGCCGGAGGAGCCGGCGCAGAAGGAGAAAGGCGGCGGCAGCUGUUGCGCCGCGACCAGGAGCAGCUGCUGGUCGCGCUGGGCGGCGGGUCCGCGCCAGGCGGGGGUCGGUGAGUAGCGGCUCGCGCUCCGGGGCAGCGGUGCUGCGCUCACCCGCCUUCUCCCGGGGCUGGUGGUUUCUUCCGCCCCGCUGGGUAAGGACUCGCUUCUCCCCGGGGUCCCGGGAUGUACCUUACUCUGGGGAGUGGAGAGGGGUGUCGGGGCAGGGGCCUCCAGGCCCAGGAUCCCAUUCCCCGGCCGGACCUCUCAGCACCCGCCCGCCUGCCCCUGAGCACAGAGCCCAAGUUCGAGCCGGAGGAGGUGGGCGGCAGUGCCUGCCUGGCGCCCCCUCCCAGCUCCAGCGAUUUGAGAGAGAAGAUCUGAUCACCUGGGAUUAGAGUUGGUACAGAAACUAUUUCACCUCCAAAAAUGUUGGAGGAAGACAUGGAAGUGGCCAUCAAGAUGGUGGUUGUAGGGAAUGGAGCAGUUGGAAAAUCAAGUAUGAUUCAGCGAUACUGCAAAGGCAUCUUUACAAAAGACUACAAGAAAACCAUUGGAGUUGAUUUUUUGGAGCGACAAAUUCAAGUUAAUGAUGAAGAUGUCAGACUAAUGUUAUGGGACACUGCAGGUCAAGAGGAGUUUGAUGCGAUAACAAAGGCCUACUAUCGAGGUAAAAUGCAGGAUUUGUUUAUUAUUUUUUUGUUUCAGCACAUUCUUUUGGCUUAAGAAAGAACUUUGCU
This is a long non-coding RNA of Galeopterus variegatus (Sunda flying lemur), 932 nucleotides long. RefSeq lists it as uncharacterized. Lineage: Eukaryota; Metazoa; Chordata; Mammalia; Dermoptera; Cynocephalidae. The transcript has 3 exons. The record is from RefSeq and is a predicted model, not a curated record.